This is a long non-coding RNA of Salvelinus sp. IW2-2015, 344 nucleotides long. RefSeq lists it as uncharacterized. NCBI's taxonomy places the organism in Eukaryota, Metazoa, Chordata, Actinopteri, Salmoniformes, Salmonidae. The record is from RefSeq and is a predicted model, not a curated record.
AUGAGUGUGACGGCUGAGAACGUGGACUGUUACGACAGCGGCGUCAUCUGCAGGAAAUCUCUACUCAUCAACAUUGGUAGAUCUUUCAUUGCGUUGGACGACGACAGUGGCAAACCAAACCCGUCCAGUGUGAUCGACUGGAGGCAGGAGGUGUUCAUAUGGACGCUGGGCUCUUCACUGGUCCACGUCCCGAGGAGGACCUGACCGUGCUCUGGGAUCGCAAGACCACGGUCCACAUCCAGGCUGGACCACGCUGGCAGAUUGCUGGAACCAUUGUAAGUUACAUGGACGGAUGUUGCAAGACAUGUGAGUAAAGAGAAAGACAACCUGUCCAGCUAUAGUUU